RNAcentral lists this long non-coding RNA (574 nucleotides) under Malus domestica (apple). Its description in RNAcentral is "long non-coding RNA (MDOM_LNC016164)". Lineage: Eukaryota; Viridiplantae; Streptophyta; Magnoliopsida; Rosales; Rosaceae. The record is from RNAcentral.
UGGUGAAGCUUUUAUAGGUGAAGUUUUUGUAUAUGAAGCUAUUGUGGGUAAAGCUUUUGUAGGUGAAGCUUUGGAGUUGAAGCUUUGUAGGUGAAGCUUUUGUUGGGUACCAUGAAUUGAUUUUGCUUCACACUAUCUUGAUCAAGAUAGUGUGAAGCUUUUGAGAAUUUGUAGUUGUCUUCCAUUGAUGAAGCUUUGUUGAAUUUCCCAUUUUUUAAAAUUUUUUUUUGGGAAACUUGAAAUUUGAAAAUGUGGGAGAGACAACAUAUACAAAUUUUGCUUCCACACUGUUGAGCAAGAAAUUGUGAUGCAAGUCACACCUUGUAGUAGUCGAAGGUUUGGAUGAACCAUAUAAAUUGAAUUUGCUUCGAAUAAUCUUGAAUUUGCUUCGAAAGUUUGAGAAUUGCAGUUGCCCUCCAUUGAUGAAGCUUUUGUUGGCACCACAAAUUGGUUUUGCUUCACACUGUCUUGAUCAAGAGUGUGUGAAGCAUUUGAGAAUUGUGGUUGAACUCCUUUGAUGAAGCUUUUGUUGGCACUAUAAAUUGGUUUUGCUUCACACUGUCUUGAUCAAGAG